UUGAUCCUGCCGGCGGCCACUGCUAUCAGGUUUCGACUAAGCCAUGCGAGUCAAGGGGUCGUAAGACCCCGGCGUACCGCUCAGUAACACGCGGAUAAUCUACCCCCAGGUGAGGCAUAACCUCGGGAAACUGAGGAUAAUUCCUCAUAGUUAUCAUAUGCUGGAAUGCUUUGAUGAUGAAAGCCUUUACGCCUGAGGAUGAGUCUGCGGCCUAUCAGGUAGUAUGUGAUGUAAAGGACCACAUAGCCUAGGACGGGUACGGGCCCUGAAAGGGGGAGCCCGGAGAUGGACUCUGAGACACAAGUCCAGGCCCUACGGGGCGCAGCAGGCGCGAAAACUGUGCAAUGCGCGAAAGCGCGACACGGGAAACCUGAGUGCCUUGACAUUGUCAAGGCUUUUCUCAAGCCUAAAAAGCUUAAGGAAUAAGAGCUGGGCAAGACGGGUGCCAGCCGCCGCGGUAACACCCGCAGCUCGAGUGGUGGUCACUUUUAUUGAGCCUAAAGCGUUUGUAGCCGGUUUUGCAAAUCUUCAGAUAAAUUCCUCUGCUUAACAGAUGAUCUUCUGAAGAGACUGCGAGACUUGGGACCGGGUGAGGUUGAAGGUACUUCCGGGGUAGGGGUAAAAUCCUGUAAUCCUGGAAGGACGACCGGUGGCGAAGGCGUUCAACUAGAACGGAUCCGACGGUGAGGAACGAGGGCUAGGGUAGCAAACCGGGAUUAGAUACCCGGGUAGUCCUAGCUGUAAACA
RNAcentral lists this ribosomal RNA (747 nucleotides) under uncultured Thermoplasmatales archaeon. RNAcentral's name for it is "bacterial SSU rRNA". It matches the Rfam family "Archaeal small subunit ribosomal RNA", at positions 8 to 759 of the family's 1478-position model. Lineage: Archaea; Methanobacteriati; Thermoplasmatota; Thermoplasmata; Thermoplasmatales. The record is from RNAcentral.